Molecule: long non-coding RNA, 229 nt
Filed under: Lathyrus oleraceus (garden pea)
Lineage: Eukaryota; Viridiplantae; Streptophyta; Magnoliopsida; Fabales; Fabaceae
Description: Pisum sativum (pea) long non-coding RNA (PSAT_LNC013029)
Source: RNAcentral
AAUAAUGCAUGAACAUAAUAACGAAAAAAAUGUCAACAUACACAUAAUCAAGGAUGAACUUAACAAUAUUUUAAAUGCAAAAAUAUGGAGUCAAAACCGCAAAAGCAAGAUGAAGAAAAUAAUUUUGAUGCAAAUGAAAAGAAGUAAUGAGUGAUUAAAAUGAAAAUAAUAUGAUAUGCACAUGUUACACAAUGAAAUAUAUGAAUGAACGAAGAUGAGCAACUUUUCA